AUUGAACGCUGGCGGCAGGCUUAACACAUGCAAGUCGAGCGAGCGGCGGACGGGUGAGUAAUGUCUGGGAAACUGCCUGAUGGAGGGGGAUAACUACUGGAAACGGUAGCUACUACCGCAUACCAUCAGAUGUGCCCAGAUGGGAUUAGCUAGGAGGUGGGGUAAGGGCUCACCUAGGCGCCGAUCCCUAGCUGGUCUGAGAGGAUGACCAUCCACACUGGAACUGAGACACGGUCCAGACGCCGACGGGAGGCAGCAGUGGGGAAUAUUGCACAAUUGGCGCAAGCCUGAUGCAGCCAUGCCGCUUGUGUGAAGAAGGCCUUCGGGUUUUAAAGCACUUUCAGCGAGGAGGCGUUACCCGCAGAAGAAGCACCGGCUAACUCCGUGCCAGCAGCCGCGGUAAUUC
This 406-nucleotide ribosomal RNA is filed under the name uncultured bacterium. RNAcentral describes it as "partial 16S ribosomal RNA". It matches the Rfam family "Bacterial small subunit ribosomal RNA", at positions 30 to 526 of the family's 1533-position model. The record is from RNAcentral.